Pelobates cultripes (western spadefoot toad) is the source of this 341-nucleotide non-coding RNA. NCBI's taxonomy places the organism in Eukaryota, Metazoa, Chordata, Amphibia, Anura, Pelobatidae. The record is from the annotation of a GenBank genome assembly.
AUUAUGAGCGAGUCUCAUUAAAACACAGAUUCUCCGAAAAAUGGAGUCAACUGCUUGAAACAAACUGACAAGUUGAAUACACCUCUAGAUAUUGUCUUCCUGACAGCCACUAGGGGCGCUUUCUGCUCUAGAACAGAGUCAAACUCGCUCCUGCAAUCAAACGGCUUCUGAUGGCAGUAUGUGAUUGGAGGAGCGCCACAUGUGGCCACGCAUGCCUAGUUCAAAUCUAUUGCUUCAUUAUGGGAAGCAUUGGAGUGGAGGAGAUCGGGGACGACACACUACUGUAGGCAUGUUGACCUGUUCAUAGAAGAAAUUGCUGCUGCAGCAGAGGAGACCAGUGG